ACGAACGCUGGCGGUGUGCUUCACACAUGCAAGUGGUGCGACGAACCCGAGCUUGCUCUGGGGCAAAGCCGCGAACGGGUGAGUAACACGUGGGUAAUCUACCCCGAUGACCGGGACAACCCGAGGAAACUCGGGCUAAUACCGGAUGUGGUGCGGAGACAUAAGUCUCUUCACUAAAGGUAGCUUCGGCUUCCGCAUUGGGAGGGGCCCGCGGCCCAUUAGCUUGUUGGUGGGGUCAAGGCCUACCAAGGCAACGAUGGGUAGCUGGUCUGAGAGGACGAUCAGCCACCCUGGGACUGAGACACGGCCCAGACCCCUACGGGAGGCCGCAGUGGGGAAUCUUGCGCAAUGCGCGAAAGCGUGACGCAGCAACCCCGCGUGAGGGAAGAAGGCCUUAGGGUUGUAAACCUCUUUCAGAUGGGACGAAGGUUCUCCGGUGAAUAGCCGAGAGGAUUGACGGUACCGUCAGAAGAAGCUCCGGCUAACUACGUG
This 492-nucleotide ribosomal RNA is filed under the name uncultured bacterium. Its description in RNAcentral is "partial 16S ribosomal RNA". It matches the Rfam family "Bacterial small subunit ribosomal RNA", at positions 29 to 507 of the family's 1533-position model. The record is from RNAcentral.